CACGCAGGCGGUUUGUUAAGUCAGAUGUGAAAGCCCCGGGCUCAACCUGGGAACUGCAUUUGAUACUGGCAAACUAGAGUAUGAGAGAGAGAAGUGGAAUUCCACAUGUAGCGGUGAAAUGCGUAGAGAUGUGGAGGAACAUCAGUGGCGAAGGCGACUUCUUGGCUCAAUACUGACGCUCAGGUGCGAAAGCGUGGAGAGCAAACAGGAUUAGAUACCCUGGUAGUCC
This 229-nucleotide ribosomal RNA is filed under the name uncultured bacterium. RNAcentral describes it as "partial 16S ribosomal RNA". It matches the Rfam family "Bacterial small subunit ribosomal RNA", at positions 568 to 796 of the family's 1533-position model. The record is from RNAcentral.